This 1545-nucleotide small RNA is filed under the name Arabidopsis thaliana (thale cress). RNAcentral's name for it is "ATSL269260". Lineage: Eukaryota; Viridiplantae; Streptophyta; Magnoliopsida; Brassicales; Brassicaceae. The record is from RNAcentral.
GAGGAUUUCUAUCACGGGAGUGAAUUGGUCUGUUGUUGAACCUGUUGUCUAAGGAUAGCUUGAUUGCGCUUGUUAACCAUUCGAAUAGGCUAGGACACCACUCUACUCGAUUACCCCAUCCUUAGGAAUUUCUCGUCUAUCUUAUUUCUCUGUUUUAUCGUUAUCGCUUAAUCGUUCUCAUUGCCUGUUUCUUAGUUUUUACAAUCACUCGACCAACUUACUCGACCACACCCAGUGUCUGGCAACAGACUGUGCAGUCGAGUAUAGCUGUUUCAUAUCCUGUCUAUUACUCGACCUGUUACUCGACCACAUCCUACUUCUGGCAUCAGCCUGUUGUGGUCGAGUGAUUUUAGUAAUUCUGUUAUUGCUUCUGUUUUCUGCAUGUUCGCUUAGGACUGUUAGAAACCCCAAAACUGUUAUUGCUUAGCUUGACUUAGUGACUUCUGAUCACAUCUCAUCUGUUUGCAUCACACCCAUUUGGAUUGACACCUAAAAUACUACAACGACAUGAUUGGUGUUUUAGGAAUAAUUGACUAAAAACCUACUAUCACCAUCAAAGCCUUGAGAAGCAAGAAGAUGCUUGGUUAGUGUUUUGGAGUCAAAUAUUACUAGAUGUCAUGUCUAUGAGUGAGUAUGACAACUAGAACCAUAACCGGAUCUUAAAAACCUAUGUAUUGAAUUUUUGUUAGAAGAUACAAAGACAAAGACUCAUACGGACUUCGACUACACUAUCAAAGCUUUGAGAAGCAAGAAGAAGCUUGGUUAGUGUUUUGGAUUCGAAUAUGACUUGAUGUCAUGUGUAUGACUCAGUAUAAACACUAGAACCGCAACGGAUCUUAAAAGCAUAAGUAUUGUAUCAUUGUUAGAAGAUACAAUGACGAAGACUCAUACGGACUUCGACUACACCAUCAAAGCUUUGAGAAGCAAGAAGCAGUUGGUUAGUGUUUUGGAGUCGAAUAUGACUUGAUGGCAUGUGUAUGAGUGAGUAUAAAAACUAGAACCGCAACGGAUCUUAAAAGCCUAAAUAUUGUAUCCUUGUUAGAAGAUACAUAGACAAAGUCUCAUACGGAAUUCGGCUAAACCAUCAAAGCUUUUAGAAGCAAGAAGAAGGUUGGUUAGUGUUUUGGAGUGAAAUCUAACUAGAUGUCAUGUGUAUGAGUGAGUAUACCAACUAGAACCACAAUUGGAAUUUUAAAAGCCUAAGUAUUAUAUCCUUGUUAGAAGAUACAAAGACAAACACUCAUACGGACUUUGGCUACACCAUCAAAGCUUUGAGAAGCAAGAAGAAGCUUGGUUAGUGUUUUGGAGUCGAAUAUGACUUGAUGUGAUGUGUAUGAUUGAGUAUAAGAAAUUAAACCGCAACUGGAUCUUAAAAGCCUAAGUAUUGUUUCCUUGUUAGAAGAAACAAAGGCAAAGCCUCAUACAAACUUUAGCUUUACCAUCAAAGCCUUGAGAAGAAAGAAGAAGCUUGGUUAGUGUUUUGGAGUCAAAUAUUACUAGAUGUCAUGUGUAUGAGUGAGUAUGACAACUAGAACCAUAACCGCA